AUUGAACGCUGGCGGCAUGCUUUACACAUGCAAGUCGAACGGCAGCACGGGCUUCGGCCUGGUGGCGAGUGGCGAACGGGUGAGUAAUAUAUCGGAACGUACCCAGAAGUGGGGGAUAACGUAGCGAAAGUUACGCUAAUACCGCAUACGAUCUAUGGAUGAAAGCAGGGGACCGCAAGGCCUUGUGCUCCUGGAGCGGCCGAUAUCUGAUUAGCUAGUUGGUGAGGUAAAGGCUCACCAAGGCGACGAUCAGUAGCUGGUCUGAGAGGACGACCAGCCACACUGGAACGGGGACACGGCCCAGACUCCUAGGGGAGGCGGAAGUGGGGAUUUUUGAACAAGGGGCGCAGGCCUGAUCAAGCAAUGCGGGGUGAGGGAAGAGGCCUUUGGGUUUGUAAGUCUUUUUUGUCGGGAAAAAAAGGUAAGGGCCUAAUAUCUUUGCUAAAGGCCGAUACCGAAAAAAAAAGCCCCGGCAAAUUCCGUG
RNAcentral lists this ribosomal RNA (484 nucleotides) under uncultured bacterium. RNAcentral describes it as "partial 16S ribosomal RNA". It matches the Rfam family "Bacterial small subunit ribosomal RNA", at positions 30 to 507 of the family's 1533-position model. The record is from RNAcentral.